GAAUGCUUACACUGCAAGUCGAGCGGAAGGCCCUUCCGGGUACUCGAGCGGCGAACGGGUGAGUAACACGUGAGCAACCUGCCCUUAGCUCUGGGAUAGCUCCGGGAAACCGGAAUUAAUACCAGAUACGACAACGGCCGACAUCGGCUGUUGUGGAAAGGAUUUCCGGCUAAGGAUGGGCUCGCGGCCUAUCAGCUAGUUGGUGGGGUAAUGGCCUACCAAGGCGACGACGGGUAGCCGGCCUGAGAGGGCGACCGGCCACACUGGGACUGAGACACGGCCCAGACUCCUACGGGAGGCAGCAGUGGGGAAUAUUGCGCAAUGGGCGAAAGCCUGACGCAGCGACGCCGCGUGGGGGAUGAAGGCCUUCGGGUUGUAAACCCCUUUCAGCAGGGACGAAGCGCAAGUGACGGUACCUGCAGAAGAAGCGCCGGCUAACUACGUGCCAGCAGCCGCGGUAAUACGUAGGGCGCAAGCGUUGUCCGGAAUUAUUGGGCGUAAAGAGCUCGUAAGCGGUCUGUUACGUCUGCUGUGAAAAUCCAGGGCUUAACCCUGGACUUGCAGUGGAUACGGGCAGACUAUAAGCAGGUAGGGGAGAAUGGAAUUCCCGGUGUAGCGGUGAAAUGCGCAAAUUUCGGGAAGAACACCGGUGACUAAAGCGGUUCUCUGGGCCUGACCUGACCCUGAAGACCGAAAGCGUGGGGAGACGAAAGGAUUAAAUACCCUGGGUAUCCCCGCCUUAAAAGUUGGGGAGCAAGGUGUGGGGUCACUUCAAGAAUCCAGAGCCGGAACUAAACAUUAAACCCCCCGCUAGGGGAGUACAGCCCCCAGGCUUAACUCCAAAGAACCGACAGAGGCCCCAACAACAUGUGAAACAUUUGCCUAAUUCAAAUCU
This 895-nucleotide ribosomal RNA is filed under the name Actinomycetales bacterium enrichment culture clone CTBE CDB1001C09. RNAcentral describes it as "bacterial SSU rRNA". It matches the Rfam family "Bacterial small subunit ribosomal RNA", at positions 42 to 958 of the family's 1533-position model. Lineage: Bacteria; Bacillati; Actinomycetota; Actinomycetes; Actinomycetales. The record is from RNAcentral.